GGGUUGUGAGGUUAAGCGACUAAGCGUACACGGUGGAUGCCCUGGCAGUCAGAGGCGAUGAAGGGCGUGCUAAUCUGCGAUAAGCGCCGGUAAGGUGAUAUGAACCGUUAUAACCGGCGAUACCCGAAUGGGGAAACCCAGUGUGACUCGUCACACUAUCAUUAACUGAAUCCAUAGGUUAAUGAGGCGAACCGGGGGAACUGAAACAUCUAAGUACCCCGAGGAAAAGAAAUCAACCGAGAUUCCCCCAGUAGCGGCGAGCGAACGGGGAGGAGCCCAGAGCCUGAAUCAGCAUGUGUGUUAGUGGAAGCGUCUGGAAAGGCGCGCGAUACAGGGUGACAGCCCCGUACACAAAAGCGCAUGUGCUGUGAGCUCGAUGAGUAGGGCGGGACACGUGGUAUCCUGUCUGAAUAUGGGGGGACCAUCCUCCAAGGCUAAAUACUCCUGACUGACCGAUAGUGAACCAGUACCGUGAGGGAAAGGCGAAAAGAACCCCGGCGAGGGGAGUGAAAAAGAACCUGAAACCGUGUACGUACAAGCAGUGGGAGCANNNNNNNNNNNNNNNNNCUGCGUACCUUUUGUAUAAUGGGUCAGCGACUUAUAUUCUGUAGCAAGGUUAACCGAAUAGGGGAGCCGGAGGGAAACCGAGUCUUAAUUGGGCGUUAAGUUGCAGGGUAUAGACCCGAAACCCGGUGAUCUAGCCAUGGGCAGGUUGAAGGUUGGGUAACACUAACUGGAGGACCGAACCGACUAAUGUUGAAAAAUUAGCGGAUGACCUGUGGCUGGGGGUGAAAGGCCAAUCAAACCGGGAGAUAGCUGGUUCUCCCCGAAAGCUAUUUAGGUAGCGCCUCGUGAAUUCAUCUCCGGGGGUAGAGCACUGUUUCGGCUAGGGGGCCAUCCCGGCUUACCAACCCGAUGCAAACUGCGAAUACCGGAGAAUGUUAUCACGGGAGACACACGGCGGGUGCUAACGUCCGUCGUGAAGAGGGAAACAACCCAGACCGCCAGCUAAGGUCCCAAAGUCAUGGUUAAGUGGGAAACGAUGUGGGAAGGCCCAGACAGCCAGGAUGUUGGCUUAGAAGCAGCCAUCAUUUAAAGAAAGCGUAAUAGCUCACUGGUCGAGUCGGCCUGCGCGGAAGAUGUAACGGGGCUAAACCAUGCACCGAAGCUGCGGCAGCGACACUGUGUGUUGUUGGGUAGGGGAGCGUUCUGUAAGCCUGCGAAGGUGGCCUGUGAGGGUUGCUGGAGGUAUCAGAAGUGCGAAUGCUGACAUAAGUAACGAUAAAGCGGGUGAAAAGCCCGCUCGCCGGAAGACCAAGGGUUCCUGUCCAACGUUAAUCGGGGCAGGGUGAGUCGACCCCUAAGGCGAGGCCGAAAGGCGUAGUCGAUGGGAAACGGGUUAAUAUUCCCGUACUUGGUGUUACUGCGAAGGGGGGACGGAGAAGGCUAUGUUGGCCGGGCGACGGUUGUCCCGGUUUAAGCGUGUAGGUGUGUGUUCCAGGUAAAUCCGGUUCACUUUAACACUGAGGCGUGACGACGAGGCACUACGGUGCUGAAGCAACAAAUGCCCUGCUUCCAGGAAAAGCCUCUAAGCAUCAGGUAACAUCAAAUCGUACCCCAAACCGACACAGGUGGUCAGGUAGAGAAUACCAAGGCGCUUGAGAGAACUCGGGUGAAGGAACUAGGCAAAAUGGUGCCGUAACUUCGGGAGAAGGCACGCUGACACGUAGGUGAAGUGAUUUACUCAUGGAGCUGAAGUCAGUCGAAGAUACCAGCUGGCUGCAACUGUUUAUUAAAAACACAGCACUGUGCAAACACGAAAGUGGACGUAUACGGUGUGACGCCUGCCCGGUGCCGGAAGGUUAAUUGAUGGGGUCAGCGCAAGCGAAGCUCCUGAUCGAAGCCCCGGUAAACGGCGGCCGUAACUAUAACGGUCCUAAGGUAGCGAAAUUCCUUGUCGGGUAAGUUCCGACCUGCACGAAUGGCGUAAUGAUGGCCAGGCUGUCUCCACCCGAGACUCAGUGAAAUUGAACUCGCUGUGAAGAUGCAGUGUACCCGCGGCAAGACGGAAAGACCCCGUGAACCUUUACUAUAGCUUGACACUGAACAUUGAGCCUUGAUGUGUAGGAUAGGUGGGAGGCUUUGAAGUGUGGACGCCAGUCUGCAUGGAGCCGACCUUGAAAUACCACCCUUUAAUGUUUGAUGUUCUAACGUGGACCCGUUACCCGGGUUGCGGACAGUGUCUGGUGGGUAGUUUGACUGGGGCGGUCUCCUCCUAAAGAGUAACGGAGGAGCACGAAGGUUGGCUAAUCCUGGUCGGACAUCAGGAGGUUAGUGCAAUGGCAUAAGCCAGCUUGACUGCGAGCGUGACGGCGCGAGCAGGUGCGAAAGCAGGUCAUAGUGAUCCGGUGGUUCUGAAUGGAAGGGCCAUCGCUCAACGGAUAAAAGGUACUCCGGGGAUAACAGGCUGAUACCGCCCAAGAGUUCAUAUCGACGGCGGUGUUUGGCACCUCGAUGUCGGCUCAUCACAUCCUGGGGCUGAAGUAGGUCCCAAGGGUAUGGCUGUUCGCCAUUUAAAGUGGUACGCGAGCUGGGUUUAGAACGUCGUGAGACAGUUCGGUCCCUAUCUGCCGUGGGCGCUGGAGAACUGAGGGGGGCUGCUCCUAGUACGAGAGGACCGGAGUGGACGCAUCACUGGUGUUCGGGUUGUCAUGCCAAUGGCACUGCCCGGUAGCUAAAUGCGGAAGAGAUAAGUGCUGAAAGCAUCUAAGCACGAAACUUGCCCCGAGAUGAGUUCUCCCUGAGACUUAAAGUCUCCUGAAGGAACGUUGAAGACGACGACGUUGAUAGGCCGGGUGUGUAAGCGCAGCGAUGCGUUGAGCUAACCGGUACUAAUGAACCGUGAGGCUUAACCUUACAACGCCGAAG
Molecule: ribosomal RNA, 2928 nt
Filed under: Salmonella enterica subsp. enterica serovar Enteritidis str. EC20120775
Lineage: Bacteria; Pseudomonadati; Pseudomonadota; Gammaproteobacteria; Enterobacterales; Enterobacteriaceae
Description: bacterial LSU rRNA
Rfam family: Bacterial large subunit ribosomal RNA
Source: RNAcentral